RNAcentral lists this ribosomal RNA (316 nucleotides) under uncultured fungus. RNAcentral's name for it is "eukaryotic LSU rRNA". Lineage: Eukaryota; Fungi. The record is from RNAcentral.
AACGCACCUUGCGCCCCUUGGCAUUCCGAGGGGCACACCCGUUUGAGUGUCGUGAAUUCAUCAAAACCUUUUCUUUGAUCCUUUUCGGUCAGGAAAAGGAUUUUUGGACUUGGAGGUUCUAUGCUUGCUUUCGCUUAUGAAAGUGAGCUCCUCUCAAAUGCAUUAGUGGGAUCUCUUUUGUGGACCGUCACUUGGUGUGAUAAUUAUCUAUGCCAUUGACUUGCUUAACGAGAAUCUGCUUAUAACCGUCUCGCAAGGGACAACACUUUAUUGACAAUUUGACCUCAAAUCAGGUAGGACUACCCGCUGAACUUAA